This 503-nucleotide ribosomal RNA is filed under the name uncultured bacterium. Its description in RNAcentral is "partial 16S ribosomal RNA". It matches the Rfam family "Bacterial small subunit ribosomal RNA", at positions 899 to 1397 of the family's 1533-position model. The record is from RNAcentral.
ACUCAAAUGAAUUGACGGGGGCCCGCACAAGCGGUGGAGCAUGUGGUUUAAUUCGACGCAACGCGAAGAACCUUACCCAGGCUUGACAUGUAGGUAGUAGGAACCUGAAAGGGGGACGACCCCGCAAGGGGAGCCUGCACAGGUGCUGCAUGGCUGUCGUCAGCUCGUGCCGUGAGGUGUUGGGUUAAGUCCCGCAACGAGCGCAACCCUCGCCCUCUGUUUACCACCGGGUAAUGCCGGGAACUCUGAGGGGACUGCCGGCGAUGAGCUGGAGGAAGGUGGGGAUGACGUCAAGUCAUCAUGGCCUUUAUGCCUGGGGCUACACACGUGCUACAAUGGCCGGUACAGAUGGUUGCAAACCCGCAAGGGGGAGCUAAUCCCAAAAAACCGGUCUCAGUUCAGAUUGGGGUCUGCAACUCGACCCCAUGAAGGCGGAAUCGCUAGUAAUCGCGUAUCAGCACGACGCGGUGAAUACGUUCCCGGGCCUUGCACACACCGCCCGU